GAGUUUGAUCAUGGCUCAGAUUGAACGCUGGCGGCAUGCCUUACACAUGCAAGUCGAACGGUAACGGGCCUUCGGGUGCCGACGAGUGGCGAACGGGUGAGUAAUGCAUCGGAACGUACCUUUCAGUGGGGAUAACGUAGCGAAAGUUACGCUAAUACCGCAUAUUCUGUGAGCAGGAAAGCAGGGGAUCGCGAGACCUUGCGCUGAUUGAGCGGCCGAUGUCAGAUUAGCUAGUUGGUGAGGUAAAGGCUCACCAAGGCGACGAUCUGUAGCGGGUCUGAGAGGACGAUCCGCCACACUGGAACUGAGACACGGUCCAGACUCCUACGGGAGGCAGCAGUGGGGAAUUUUGGACAAUGGGGGCAACCCUGAUCCAGCCAUGCCGCGUGAGUGAAGAAGGCCUUCGGGUUGUAAAGCUCUUUCGGCCGGGAAGAAAUCGCAUGGGUUAAUACCCUGUGCGGAUGACGGUACCGGCAUAAGAAGCACCGGCUAACUACGUG
This 500-nucleotide ribosomal RNA is filed under the name uncultured bacterium. Its description in RNAcentral is "bacterial SSU rRNA". It matches the Rfam family "Bacterial small subunit ribosomal RNA", at positions 9 to 507 of the family's 1533-position model. The record is from RNAcentral.